GACUACUGGGGUAUCUAAUCCUGUUUGCUACCCACGCUUUCGUGACUGAGCGUCAGUAUCGAGCUAGUAAGUCGCCUUCGCCACUGGUGUUCCUCCAUAUAUCUACGCAUUUCACCGCUACACAUGGAAUUCCACUUACCUCUCUCGCACUCUAGCUGUUCAGUUUUCAGAGCGUUAAGGGGUUGAGCCCCUCGCUUUGACUCCAAACUUAAACUGCCGCCUGCUCACUCUUUACGCCCAAUAAUUCCGGAUAACGCUUGCCACCUACGUAUUACCGCGGCUGCUGGCACGUAGUUAGCCGUGGCUUUCUCAUAAAGUACCGUCAAACAGCUAGCAUUUCCUCUAGCUGCCGUUCUUCCCUUAUAACAGAGCUUUACAAUCCGAAGACCUUCAUCACUCACGCGGCGUUGCUCGGUCAGGGUUUCCCCCAUUGCCGAAAACUCCCCACUGCAGCCACCCGUAGG
This 464-nucleotide ribosomal RNA is filed under the name uncultured bacterium. Its description in RNAcentral is "partial 16S ribosomal RNA". The record is from RNAcentral.